ACAUCUUAGGAUACUGCUAAAGCAAUGCUGUUAGAACCCAGUAGAAAGCCUAAAAUAUUAUUCCUCUUGCUGAAGCUACUAUGCUUGAAAUGAAAAUUCUUAACCAGUCAUAACAACUUUGAUUAUGUUGGAAGCAACAUGCAGAAAAGGGAGGGUUUUACAGAUUUGGAUGUGUAACUUUGAUCCUAAGAUAUCAGGCUACAGUCAUCUUCAAGAUAGAAUGGUUAUCCUUCCAUCAUCAAUACCAUACUCUAGAACUAGCCAGAAGUAAACAAGUUUUGAAGCACUUCAUGGGACCAUUCAAGAAUGUCGUAGUUUUGUAGACUACUUGCAGCUCUUGCAUACCUUUCAUGAUAACAAGCUCCCAAAGCAUUAGCCUCUUGACAGGCCAGUCAUGAUGGUUUUUCAAUUUGGAUAAAUUAGGUGCCUCCCCACAAGACUGAGGCUCUUAGUGGGUGUGAAUUGUUGUAAGACUACAAAUGAUUGGUGCUAGCUAUAAAAAUAUCCAGUUUACCAGGAGCAUGACUCAGGUGCUUAGGACGACAAUCUGGCAAAGAAGCAAGUCAGAUCAGGGAUAUAUCACCCAUGUAUUUUAAUGCAAACUUAAAUAGCCUUACUUUUAAGAUGUGCUAUCAUCAACUUGUAAUUGAGUGUCAUCAAUAAUUCAUGUUGUUUAG
RNAcentral lists this long non-coding RNA (677 nucleotides) under Elaeis guineensis (African oil palm). RNAcentral's name for it is "long non-coding RNA (EGUI_LNC003286)". Lineage: Eukaryota; Viridiplantae; Streptophyta; Magnoliopsida; Arecales; Arecaceae. The record is from RNAcentral.